This 72-nucleotide transfer RNA is filed under the name Phrynosoma platyrhinos (Desert horned lizard). RNAcentral describes it as "tRNA-OTHER". The record is from RNAcentral. Lineage: Eukaryota; Metazoa; Chordata; Lepidosauria; Squamata; Phrynosomatidae.
GCCAGUGUGGUGUAGUGGUUUCAACAUUGGACUGUGACUCUGGAGACCAGGAUUCAAAUCUCCGCUCAGCCA